Molecule: ribosomal RNA, 253 nt
Filed under: uncultured bacterium
Lineage: Bacteria
Description: partial 16S ribosomal RNA
Rfam family: Bacterial small subunit ribosomal RNA
Source: RNAcentral
UACAGAGGUCUCAAGCGUUGUUCGGAUUCAUUGGGCGUAAAGGGUGCGUAGGCGGCGCGGUAAGUCGGGUGUGAAAUCUCGGAGCUUAACUCCGAAACUGCAUUCGAUACUGCCGUGCUUGAGGACUGGAGAGGAGACUGGAAUUUACGGUGUAGCGGUGAAAUGCGUAGAUAUCGUAAGGAAGACCAGUGGCGAAGGCGGGUCUCUGGACAGUUCCUGACGCUAAGACGCGAAAGCGUGGGGAGCAAACAGG